RNAcentral lists this ribosomal RNA (853 nucleotides) under uncultured bacterium. RNAcentral describes it as "bacterial SSU rRNA". It matches the Rfam family "Bacterial small subunit ribosomal RNA", at positions 58 to 916 of the family's 1533-position model. The record is from RNAcentral.
CAAGUCGAACGGGAUUUAGUUUGUAGUAAUACACGCUAAAUUCAGUGGCGAACGGGUGCGUAACACGUGAGUAAUCUGCCGGGAAGUGGGGGAUAGCUCGCCGAAAGGCGAAUUAAUACCGCAUAUGGCAAGGGAAGACAUCUUUCCAAAGCCAAAGUCGCAAGACGCUUCCUGAUGAACUCGCGGCCUAUCAGCUUGUUGGUGAGGUAACGGCUCACCAAGGCUAUGACGGGUAGCUGGUCUGAGAGGACGACCAGCCACACUGGAACUGAGACACGGUCCAGACACCUACGGGUGGCAGCAGUCGAGAAUUUUUCACAAUGGGGGAAACCCUGAUGGAGCGACGCCGCGUGGAGGAUGAAGGCCUUCGGGUCGUAAACUCCUGUCAUGCGAGAACAAGAAAGUGAUAGUAUCGCAAGAGGAAGAGACGGCUAACUCUGUGCCAGCAGCCGCGGUAAUACAGAGGUCUCAAGCGUUGUUCGGAUUCAUUGGGCGUAAAGGGUGCGUAGGUGGCGUGGAAAGUUGAGUGUGAAAUCCUAGGGCUUAACCUUAGAACUGCACUCAAUACUCCCAUGCUAGAGGAAUGUAGAGGAGAGUGGAAUUCACGGUGUAGCAGUGAAAUGCGUAGAUAUCGUGAGGAAGACCAGUUGCGAAGGCGACUCUCUGGGCAUUUCCUGACACUGAGGCACGAAGGCCAGGGGAGCAAACGGGAUUAGAUACCCCGGUAGUCCUGGCAGUAAACGGUGCACGUUUGGUGUGGGCGGGCUCAGACCCCGUCCGUGCCGGAGCUAACGCGUUAAACGUGCCGCCUGGGAAGUACGGUCGCAAGAUUAAAACUCAAAGAAAUUGACGG